This 31-nucleotide non-coding RNA is filed under the name Mus musculus (house mouse). Lineage: Eukaryota; Metazoa; Chordata; Mammalia; Rodentia; Muridae. The record is from RNAcentral.
UACCAGAACAUAUUUGGCUUAGAGUUUAUUU